This 408-nucleotide ribosomal RNA is filed under the name uncultured bacterium. Its description in RNAcentral is "partial 16S ribosomal RNA". It matches the Rfam family "Bacterial small subunit ribosomal RNA", at positions 30 to 526 of the family's 1533-position model. The record is from RNAcentral.
AUUGAACGCUGGCGGCGUGCCUAAUACAUGCAAGUCGAACGGAGUGGCGCACGGACGGGUAAUGUAUAUCUAAUCUGCCCUACACUAGAGGAGAACAGUUGGUAACGACUGUUAAUACUCUAUAGUUUCGGAUGUGGCUAUAUUGUAUCAGCUAGUUGGUGAGGUAAUGGCUCACCAAGGCUAUGACGCAUAACUGGUCUGUGGGGAUGAUCAGUCAAACGGGAACGGAGGCACGGGCCAGGAUCCUACGGGAAGGAGCAGUAGGGAAUAGUACUCAAGGGGGGAAACCGUGAAGCAGCAACGGCGCGUGGAGGAUGACACUUGGCGAGGAGUAUACUCCUGUUGAUAGCGAAACGGUACCUAAAGAAGAAGCACCGGCUAACUCCGUGCCAGCAGCCGCGGUAAUAC